GUGGUAGGAGGAGGGAGGAAGGGAGAGCUCUUCUCUGUGGAGGGAGAUUUGGUUUGAAUUAUGCACGGUACCCAUACUGAAUCGAAAACUUCUGGGGUGAUUCAGGCUCCACAGGCUGCUCAGCAGCAAGGCAGGCUUUUCUGCUGAUAUGUCUUGACGCUUUAAAAGUUAUGAAAUGAGAAUUCUUCUGUUUAAAAGCCGGGAAUGAGCUUUGGAUUUCUAAAGUGUCAAAAAUGGUACCUGAUAAAUUGUCUGGACAUUAGAUUGCUAAACAGAAUUCACUUAAUGGGUUCAUCACAGCUACCAAGCUGUUUGAAGGUAGCAAAGCUACGUAUUAAUGCCAGAAUUAGUGUUUUUCUAUAAGAAAGUCACUUAGUUUUUGAAACAAAGGAGCAUCAUUUACAUUUGUAGUGCAAGAAGAAAGGUGUGUUUCAAACUCAGUUUGAGAAGAGAAUCAUCUGAGGGAAUAAGUGGAGUAGAAGAGAAAUAGCAGUUUACAUAAUGUACCUUGCAGAACUGCUCUUAAAAAUUGCACUGGAUAUAGCAAGGACUUAGCAAGUAAAUCUAAUUCUUCAUUAAAAGUGAUCUUUAAACACUGUAAAACUACUUUUUAGGUGUGUGUUUUGAACCAAUAAAUAUCUACUGGGCAUAUGAACUGACCGUGCUUCUGGUCACUUGAUCCAACAGUAUCCGUCUGCUUCAGAGGAGCUCCAAAGCUUUUCCAGGAUUACCACAGCUAUUAGGUGAUGCAAGAGAGAAAGUGUGUCAAAAACGUAUGAUCUGACAUACAAAGGAUGGGAAUGAUAAUUCAUAAUCCCUUUGUUUUGGACUCCUCUGUAUUCUGUGCCUUUGCAGUUAAUCCUUCUUUACUCUUUUAAGCCUUUCUUUAAAUCAUCCUCUAACAAUAAAUCUUAUCGUAGUGAGUCAGAGCCUGGUUUCCUCAGUCUGUUGACUGAGCGACAUACUGGAACAUCCGCAGUAGAAGAAUCAAUCUGUCAUGGCACGUCUCAAGUACUGUACGUGCUUGGUAACCUCAGAGAUACCUUAGUGGUGUAGCUGUGGAGUGGCCUAUGUACAAACUAUGUCCCAUCCCUCAAAAAAAGUAUGUUGGGGUGGUGGCAGAUAUGAUAUUCUUAUGAUUGAUUGGAAAUUGAUUCUACUUAUCUUAUAUUUGAUCCUCUUAUGUACCUUUCAUAGUUCUUUAGAUACGAUCCAGAUAUUGUUGUCCUACACUGACUGAAGUGCAAAUGUGAAGGAAAGUGUUACUUGACUUACAGUUACUUACAUCCAUGCAAUUAACUACAGUUAAUAAUUUACAAAAUGCUCAAAGAGGACAUUAUUUGAGGCUGUAAACAUUCUAAUGAGUCAGAAGUCUAAACUCCAGUUGACAACCCACUAUCUCUUUUAGAAGGCUGACGUUCUGAUCAUUUUUGGAUUAACAAAAUCUGAGCUCCACCUGUGGGCAUCCUUCAGGGGAACCUCUCCUAGAGACCCUGUGAUUUGUCUUGACUGUUGCAUACCUCUGAGAACUGAAGUAUUCCCCAGUGUUGUUAAUCCUUCUUUCGUCAUCAGUUCAUACCAGAAAGCACAAGCAUCCUGCAAAGGCAUAGCUUUUUCCUCUAACCUUCUGCAUUGCUUACUUAGCAGUGUAAUUACUCUUCUUAUAAGAGAGGAUGCAGAGCCUGGAUUCUCACCAUGUUUAUACUGGGGAAAGCAGCACUGACUGCAUGCAACCUGGAGGGACCUCAGAGGCUGUGGUAGGGAUGGAUCGGCAGUGUCAGUUCUCUGGAUUUUGGGUCGGGCAGUGGGAUUUCCAGGGAAGUUUUUCCUAGAACACAGAACUUCCUCCAGAACAAAGUCAGUCAUUCCCUCUUCCCUCUUUGUGUAAUAUAUAAUUUAAAACACUGGUUCAGGGAAUUAGUCUGCCAUGACCAAAGCACUGCAUUCACUCUAGACUAUGGAGCUUCCACUUGGAUCCAGGAGCAUGCUGCAGCUCUGCAUAGACAGCUGCAAUCUGUUCCUGCUCUUAGAUGGAUCUGGACCUUUUUCCAUUCAAGUUUAUUAACUGUACAGAACUUAGAAACUUUCCAAAAAUAACUUCAUUUCCUCCUGUCCUGAUCUCUGUGGCCCAGUAAGUUGCAGGGAAUGGCUUAACUGAGCUGCCCUUAUUUUACAUGUCAUUCUCUGGCAUGUGACUGUUACCUAACCAGCAGCUAUGAAUGUUUUAGUGUGCCCAUGUAACAUGGCUCGAUGUACUGUGCUCAUUACUAAAUCAUAACACUUAUAGUGUCCUUGCCACAUUGGCAGUGCAUUGUGCUUUUACCACAUUAAUUGCUUCAUACGCCACAGUGCACCACACCGGCACCCCUCCUGUGCCCACCUGGUCCUGUGUGUUCCCACCAUCAAAUAGAUGAGGGGUGAACAUCUGCAUAGCUGUUGUCGAGCUGCUGCUUUCCAACCAUGGUAUCGCUGUGCCACUGUUAAUAAUUCAGAAGUGAUGGAGAGAUGGGGGAGUGUAAGGGCUGCAGCACUCUGUGUCUGGGCACAAUGUUUGCUGCCUCCUGGGUGGCUGUGCUGUUGCCAUGGAAACGGGAGUGGGAUGGCACAGCGGUGUGCUGGCAUGGGGCUGCUGGCAGCAGCAGCACAUCUGCCCAGGUGUCAAACACUGGGGCUCACCUUCCUGCUGUCUGGGGCCUUUUCCCCUCGUUCUCUCAGCAGUUCCAUGAAACUUAGUUGUUAAACAGAUGAUGCUCCCAAGUUUUAGAGCGCGUGUUGAAGAGUUCUGUUGUUGGGGAUUUUGUAAAAAUACUCAGUGCCAGAAACUAAGGCACUACUGGGCUCAGCCUUGAUCCCUUCUGAAACUGGCAUGUUAUAUGUGCUCUUUUUAAUUGAAAAAUAUCUUCAGUACCAACUGCAAAGUGAGCCUGAAAGAUAAAGGACAAUUCUGAGCUCUUUCCUUAAAUAAUCACAAGAAGAGACGCAUUUGAGAAAUGUAGGACUUAAGAAGAGGCACUGGAAGAAAAGGAUUUUGACCUUAUAUAUUAAUAUUGAGGUGCUCUCACAGUUGGCCUUGUGCGACAGUGUCAAACCAUCCAUGGACGUGACAGGACCUGUAUUCCUCCACGGCUGCCUCCUGAGUGGGUCACUACGUUAUUUUUCAUCAUAAUGGGAAUCAUUUCACUAACUGUCACAUGUGGUUUGCUGGUGGCUUCCCACUGGCGAAGAGAAGCUACUAAAUAUGCCCGCUGGAUAGCUUUCACUGGAAGUGAUUUCAAGACUGAACAGCCCAGUACAGGCGGCUAGCAGAUACUCUCCUCGCAGAACUUUCAGAACAUGACAUAGGAUGUGCUGUCCUAAGUGGCAGUGAAGUCUGCUGGGAUUGCUAAAGGCAUCUCUGGGACUGGCAGCUCUGUUCUCUUCAAAUGCAAGGGGGGUCUAGAUGAAAUCAUCUAACGGCAAAGGAGUGCUCUUGCUCAGCCCUUUUCCUUGCAACUCUGCCAGCAACAAGGAGAGCCAGGCAAGAGGUCACUCUUGCCCCACUUGUGUUGGAAUUUGACCCCAAUGGGUUAAGUCAGUUUGUUGCAGAUCCCCUCUAGCUACCCUUCUGUCCGAUGUGGUGAAAUGCAGUCCAGAGAAGUUAUGAGAAAGUCUCAUUCUUAUCCAUAGGUGACUAUCUGAAAUACCUCUGUUUUUGAGGAAGAAGAUGAAGACCUCCCUUGCAGAAGAGAAAGGUCUUUAAAGAGCAGCUCCAUGUAGCUGGUUUAACAAUAUUACGUAGGGAAAAAGAACUUCUCGAUUCUUUUGAUUUUUAUGAUAAUCACAUGAAAGACUCCUAAGGAAGUAUUUGAUGUUUUCCUCAAUUGAUAGAAUUCUGCAGAGUAAAUUGGUGCAAACAUCUUCAGCACUUCAUUCCUUUGCUCACUUUACAGAGCACAGUAUGAUAAUUCAGGGAAGAAGAGUCCAGGUCAUAAACUAGUGCUGAUUGCUUGGCAUGCCUAUACCAACACCUUCACAGAGAAGCAAAGAUCCUGCAUAGGCCUUUCCUGAAUUCAGCUUCAUCAUGCUCAUAACUAGUCUCUGCCACAGAAUGUGAUUGCUCUUCCAUGAAGCUGAGACCUGUACUAUGUGCACCACAAUGUUUUCAGCAUUAAGAUAUAAAAUGUGAUAAGCAUUUCAUCUUGUAUAAACAUGGAGUUCAUUUUAAAAAAGCUGUUAGUAUUGCCGUGUAACACUGUAGCUGGAAAAACCAGAAUAUUAGCCAGAAGAGUAGUGAAAUUACGUUCCAAAAUAUUGAAGCCGCUCUACCCAUCAUAUCCUCAGCUGGAAAGAGUAGAGACUGUCUUGAUGUCCUCAUAAGAACAGGUGAGCUGCUGAAUUUGCUGUAGGUACCUUUGGAAAUAAAAGCAUCUGGAGCACUGCUGACUUGCACAGGAACCAGCAGUUAAGGUGCUAGCUAUUACUAUUGCCAACGUUAGGGAUUGUUUGGGUUGGUUUGGUUUUGUGUUGCUUUUUGCUGUUGCUUAAGUACAGUACCAAUAUUUCUUACUAAGAAAAAGCAGCAAUCUGUGCUAAGUGACAGAAGACUGAAUAAAUUAGUAUGUAGUAUGCUUUAUUCAGGCAGAGGCAUUGUAGCUUGGCUUGAAUUUUGUGAAUUUUUUCUCAUUUUAUAUAAACACUUUGAGGACUGGGAGAUGGUUAUGUCAAUUGUGCUUCAUAUUAGGAGAUGAUUGUAUGAAUGUUUAUAGAGUUGGUGGAAGAACAGAACAGGUUCAACUCCUGUGUCCCUCCGAUAUAAAAUAAGGAUGUUCCACUCACGGUAAAUGAUGUUUGAAAGAAAGUUGAAAUACUCAGAAGUGAAAUAAGAAUAAGGCACUAAUUGUUGACUUAAGUAGUAGAAAUAAAAGUCUGUGUUGUUCUAAUACUGAUUGAAGAAAAAGAAAGGGUGGGGAAAAGACAGUGUCUAUUGCUAUAGUCUUGAAUAUGCAGUCAAGCCAACUUAAAAGAUAUAUAUUUUUUAUUGUGAGAAAUCUCUUGCCUCUUAGAGAUGCCAUAUAUAUUUGGAAGCCCUUCCCUUGCUGGAGACAGUACAAGUCUGCAUAUUGCCGUGUUCCCAUUAAAUAAGGUUACUUACCCAGAGCUAUCUUACAGCAACAUUGGUGUUCUCAUCUGGGAAAGAUUACAGCAACUGUGUAUUUGUACUGAGGAAUGCUGGCCACUAUUAAUAUCUGAAGGCCCGUGAAAUCUAUCAGUGAUUCUAUUCUGUAUGGCAGCCCUAAUAUUUCCAAUAGGAUUUUACAUCAAUGAAGUCGGAGGUCAACCGUAUAAAUUACCCAAUAACACAGUGGUUGGGUCUUCGUACGUACUGUUUGUCUUAUCCAUUUUCUU
Molecule: RNA transcript, 5385 nt
Organism: Gallus gallus (chicken)
Lineage: Eukaryota; Metazoa; Chordata; Aves; Galliformes; Phasianidae
Gene: C16orf52
Gene name: C16orf52 homolog
Exons: 7
Source: RefSeq, a predicted model, not a curated record